Molecule: ribosomal RNA, 379 nt
Filed under: uncultured bacterium
Lineage: Bacteria
Description: bacterial SSU rRNA
Rfam family: Bacterial small subunit ribosomal RNA
Source: RNAcentral
CCUGAACGCUGGCGGCGUGGCUAAGACAUGCAAGUCGCACGGAGGUAGCAAUACCUUAGUGGCGAACGGGUGAGUAAUGAAUCGCUAAUGUGCCCCGGACUCUGGGAUAGCUGCCCGAAAGGGCAGGUAAUACCAGAUGAUAUAACCGAACCGCAUGGUUUGGUUCUCAAAGGUCCGCCGGUCUGGGAGCAGGCGAUUUCGUAUCAGCUAGUUGGUGAGGUAACGGCNCACCAAGGCGACGACGCGUAGCCGGACUGAGAGGUUGGCCGGCCACAUUGGGACUGAGACACUGCCCAGACUCCUACGGGGGGCUGCAGUAACGAAUCUUCCGCAAUGCACGAAAGUGUGACGGAGCGACGCCGCGUGUAGGACGAAGCCC